CGUUUGACCUCGGGAUCAGGUAGGGAUACCCGCUGAACUUAAGCAUAUCAAUAAGCGGAGGAAAAGAAACCAACAGGGAUUGCCCUGGUAACGGCGAGUGAAGCGGCAACAGCUCAAAUUUGAAAUCUGGCUCUUUUAGAGUCCGAGUUGUAAUUUGCAGAGGGCGCUUUGGCUUUGGCAGCGGUCCAAGUUCCUUGGAACAGGACGUCACAGAGGGUGAGAAUCCCGUACGUGGUCGCUAGCUAUUGCCGUGUAAAGCCCCUUCGACGAGUCGAGUUGUUUGGGAAUGCAGCUCUAAAUGGGAGGUAAAUUUCUUCUAAAGCUAAAUAUUGGCCAGAGACCGAUAGCGCACAAGUAGAGUGAUCGAAAGAUGAAAAGCACUUUGGAAAGAGAGUCAAACAGCACGUGAAAUUGUUGAAAGGGAAGCGCUUGCAGCCAGACUUGCUUGCAGUUGCUCAUCCGGGCUUUUGCCCGGUGCACUCUUCUGCAGGCAGGCCAGCAUCAGUUUGGGCGGUGGGAUAAAGGUCUCUGACACGUUCCUUCCUUCGGGUUGGCCAUAUAGGGGAGACGUCAUACCACCAGCCUGGACUGAGGUCCGCGCAUCUGCUAGGAUGCUGGCGUAAUGGCUGUAAGCGGCCCGUCUUGAAACACGGACCAAGGAGUCUAACAUCUAUGC
Molecule: ribosomal RNA, 676 nt
Filed under: uncultured Ascomycota
Lineage: Eukaryota; Fungi; Ascomycota
Description: eukaryotic LSU rRNA
Rfam family: Eukaryotic large subunit ribosomal RNA
Source: RNAcentral